AACGAACGCUGGCGGCAGGCCUAACACAUGCAAGUCGAGCGCCCUUUCGGGGGAGCGGCGGCCGGGUGAGUAACGCGUGGGAAUAUGCCCUUCUCUACAGAAUAGCCUCGGGAAACUGAGAGUAAUACCGUAUACGCCCUUUGGGGGAAAGAUUUAUCGGGGAAGGAUUAGCCCGCGUUGGAUUAGGUAGUUGGUGGGGUAAUGGCCUACCAAGCCGACGAUCCAUAGCUGGUUUGAGAGGAUGAUCAGCCACACUGGGACUGAGACACGGCCCAGACUCCUACGGGAGGCAGCAGUGGGGAAUCUUAGACAAUGGGGGCAACCCUGAUCUAGCCAUGCCGCGUGAGUGAUGAAGGCCUUAGGGUUGUAAAGCUCUUUCAGCUGGGAAGAUAAUGACGGUACCAGCAGAAGAAGCCCCGGCUAACUCCGUG
This 431-nucleotide ribosomal RNA is filed under the name uncultured bacterium. RNAcentral describes it as "partial 16S ribosomal RNA". It matches the Rfam family "Bacterial small subunit ribosomal RNA", at positions 29 to 507 of the family's 1533-position model. The record is from RNAcentral.